This is a non-coding RNA of Triticum urartu, 44 nucleotides long. The record is from Rfam. NCBI's taxonomy places the organism in Eukaryota, Viridiplantae, Streptophyta, Magnoliopsida, Poales, Poaceae.
AAAAAGGCCCUUUUUAGGGCCAACAAAUACUCAAUCACACAACC